This 4306-nucleotide long non-coding RNA is filed under the name Diabrotica virgifera virgifera (western corn rootworm). Its description in RNAcentral is "uncharacterized LOC126888878". The record is from RNAcentral. Lineage: Eukaryota; Metazoa; Arthropoda; Insecta; Coleoptera; Chrysomelidae.
GUGUGUACCAGAAGGGGCUUGCUUCGUAAGAAGUUUUCACUUCUAUCGGCACUCCCACGAGUGCUCUAAUUUUGUUUUAAUUAGAAGAGUGUAAAUGCAUAUUAUAACAUAAUUUUUAAUUACAAACAACUUUUCUUAAUAACAAUUUUUGAUAUUGUGAACUAUAAAGGCACUUUACUCUUGAGCGAAAUUCAUAUUUUUGGACAUACCUCGUAUAUUAUUGAUAAAAUUUGAUAUCUGAUGACUGCAUCUUAGAUUUUAGACUAUGCAGAGCACUUUAUGAAGAAUAACUUUUUUCGUAAAAUUGAUAUUAAAAAAGUUUCCCAUAUGAAGUUACGCAGGCACGCUGUAUGAAAAUUUAUUUAUAAUUUGCAUUUUUAGGUAUAUUUUGAACCAUAUUAAACAAGAAGCCACAUCUCGAUAAAAGGUGCCUUAUCGAAAAAAUACUAAGAGGCAAAAAAGAUUUAAAAAUAUGGUGUUUAACUAAUGGAACCACAAUAAUAGUUGAAUUGGAACGUACACAAAAGUUUGGAGGGGGGGUAAGGGAACAAUAGCGCAUAAAAUUUUUAUGGGGUGUCCAAAUUUCACUGUCGUUUUUUUAAGAUGUUCCCAUAGGAAUGCCGCAUGACAAUUUUCAAUAAAAAAUUCCUUCGGUAUAUGAAAAAAAUCAAAUUUCAUUUCGUAACUUCAAAGCUGUAAACUAAAGGUUGUAGCUUUUUUGUGUGCACUUUGAUCCCAGAAUCUGUGGUAUAAUUUAUGCCGAAUCUUUUCGGGACACCCUGUAUACUAACACUACGUUAUACAAUAAUUUUAUUUGCCAGAAAAUACGCAACAUCUGGGGGGUCCUGGGAAUUUGGACUGUAGAGACAUAAACAUGCAAAUUAGUAAAUGGAAAAUGAGCAUAAAUAAGAACUAGUUUCACCUAAAAAAAUGUUUUGAUUGGUAUAAACCACGAUGAGCGAUGUAAUUAUUAAAAACAAUAUAUAUUAUUUUCUUAUAAAUAUAUUAAGUAUAAGCCAUUCUCAAACAAUAAAAUACUUACAUACCUAAUACUUUAAAUUGAUGUUUUCUUGUUUUAACAAAUAUUUAUGAAAUUAAAAAAAAAUAUGUUUACACAAUUUUCAGUUAAUAUCGGUAAAUUUACUACUAUGUUUUAACAAAAAUAGGCAAUACAAGUAAUAUAGUUAACAGCUAGCUAAUUAUUUUAAGAUUAAAACAACAUUGAACUAUCUUACUAUCACCACAAAAUCCAUUAUUUUUUUUCUAUCGGUUUUAAGUCUUUCGUUUACAGAAAAAUACAAUAUUAUGUACUUAUUUAUAAACACUCGUGACAUAAUAAUAAUAACAGCUAUACAUAACUGGGUAACAAUUUUGUUGUUUAUUGAUAUUAAAAUUUAAAAAACAGCCAAACAGCCAAAGAGGUAACAAAAAAAAAAUAAUAGUAAUACUAAGAAAUUUUCCAUGGAAUAUAACUUUCCUUAAUAAAAUUAAAGAUGUAUAAAAAAUAAAAAGGCGCAAAAUAGAGAAGAGAGAUAAGUUCCAAUACCUACUAUAAAUAAAAUAUUAAAUAUUAUGUACAUGUGGCAAUAUUAAAAAUCAAAUAACAUUAUUAAAGUUUCAGUUUAAAUUUAUUGAAUAAAUUUGUUUUUUAUGUUAUUGUUUGGUGUUUCUUUUUCUCUUUAUUAGGAUUUAAUAGAGCAAGUGUCAUAUUCUUUGGUUAUUCUUUCAUGGUACUAAAAAUGUAUUCCUUUGAUGAUUAUAUCAACAGAAACUGCUCAUAUAGCUGUACGGAAUCAGCAAAGGAUUAAACAGAUAAAAAAAAAUAGAAAUUAACGGAUCCAGCAUUGAACAGAUUACAGAAAUUAACUAUUUAGGCAUCACAGUAUCAAGUUACGGUGAUGUAGAAGAAGAGGUAAAAAAGAACCAAUACAGAAAGUCAAUGAAGCAGCAGAAUAUCUAAACAAUACAAUAUGGAGGGACACACACAUUAGAAUGGAAACUAAGUAAUAUUUAACAUCAAAGAAUCGAUGGUGAAGUAAAGAAUAACGGUCAACCACUUCAAUAAAUUUCCAAAGUAGUAGCUUACCUUUGCUACAAAAUAACUAACAUUUUAUUUAGAAAAUUUUAUACAAAAUAACUAACAUUUUAUUUAGAAAAUUAUCACGUUAUACAAAAAAGAACGACUCUUUAAUUAUAAGAGAAUUCUUAUUGUACCUAUAUGUUACGCUCAAACUCCGAAUUCGGAUAAUGCACGAAAUUAUUACUCACUUCGCGAUGUGGACAACGUGAAUUACCUACGUCGCGCGUCGCGGAGUGAUCAUUUUAUUCGGACAUUGGUCGAAGCAAAAUAACUAGAACGCGUUAUGGGUAAACGAAAGCACUCAAUUGCCGAAAUAAACACGUUCACUGGAGAUUAAGCAAACCAUAAUAACUCGACGUGGGUAAUCUAUUUUACCCACGUCGCGUCGGGUUGUAGGUAUUAAUAAUUUGCGCAAAUGCCGAAAAGCUUCCAAACACAAUCAUACCCUACACUAAUUACAUAAUAAAAAGUAAAAUAAAAUCAAAUUUUUCUUGAAAUUCAGUAAAAUACAACAAGUAUCUUAUUAUUGAAAAUAGAAAAAAAAUAAUUAAACGUUUUCAUUACAUGUACCUAGGUCUUUUUAAUACAUGUAGGUACCACUUUCAAUGUAUAUUACAGUUCUUUUCAGAAAAUAUUCACUUUAUUUGUUAGCACAAGAAGUGCUACAGUGACAUUUGGAAUUGCAUUUUAAGUUUGAUUUUACACAUUUGCAAGAUUUGCUCGAACAGUUCUUCUUGCAUCCACAUCCAAUGAAAUCUUGUUUGGACCCGGAUGACAUCAUUGCUUCUAUACGGACAUGUAUUUUAAUAUUUAUUUUUUUGUCCUUUUUUGUUUUAUUUAAAAUAAAUUGAAUUUCAAGGAAAAUUUGAUUUUAUUUUACUUGUUAUUAUGAAAUUAACGUAGGGUAUGUUUGUGUUUGGAAGCUUUUCGGAGUUUGCGCAAAUUUCAAAUACAUACAACCCGACGUGUGUAAAAUAUAUUACCCACGUCGGGUUAUGGGUAUUAUGGUUUUGCUCAAUUUCCGUUGAACGUGUUUAUUUCGACAAUUGAGUACUUUCGUUUACCCACAACAUGUUCUGGGUAUUUCGCUUCGGCCAAUGUCCGAAUAAAAUGCUCACUCCGAGACGUGGAUAAUUCACAUUGUCCACAUCGCGAAGUGAGUAAAAAUUUCGGGCAUUGUCCGAAUUCGGAGUUUAAUGUAACAUAUACAUCAAUGUGGAUCUAAAGAUCAAAAUACUGAAGUGAUUUCCAUUCUGCUGUUAGGAGUAGAUUCCAUGAUUGCAAAACUCAAAGCUUUCAAAAUGUGACUUUACAGGAGAAUAUUGCACAUUAGUUGGAUGGAUCACUGACUGAAUAACGAGACUGUUAACGAAGAAUAAAGAAAGGUAAAUAUAAAUAGUAGAAUCAUUAAAAUGUGAACAGUAACGUAUUUCGCAUGUUUAAUAAGGCAUAUAAACGAGUCAAACUGAUUACUUUUACAAAACAACAUUUAUGAAACAAAAUUCAGAAAGAAAAAAGAAAUCCAGUUAGACGAACAUCGCGGAUUAUAAACCAAAGAUAGUAAUAUUCAUAAAAACCUGCACUAAGCGGAUACAGCACUCUAAAGCCGCGUAGCUAUUUCGCGAGGUGGCCGCACGCGGCCUGGCUCGCGAAGCAAACUUGGCAUUUGGCACGAGGCUUUAUCGCUUUGCCGCACGUAACAGUGUGGUAUACACUUUCCGCAGCAACGGCAACGAACAUGCCGCGCCCGGCAGCCUCGCGAAAUGGAGACGCGGCUUAAAGGAAGCAGUUAAUAAGAGUGCCUUCUCUUCCGAGCCAUGAACGAGCUAUUUCUUUUCUUUUUUUUUUGGUGUCCUUAUUGGUAAUUUUUUCUAGUUUAAAUUUGCAUAUAGAUCUUCUGUCAUAUUGUCAGUAGUUUUUUUCUCUUCCUCGAUAAAAUAAUAUUAUCUUUUACACAUAAUCUUAAGCUUUGGAAUUGCAAAAUAAAUUUUUACAAAAUAAGUUAUCAGCCAAUACAUCAGUAAAUAUCAGUAAAAUAUCAAUAUUAAUUCAGAAAAAAAUCAAAAUUCACUAAAUUUAAAAAGUGCACAACAGGAUGUAUAAAAGACCUCGUCAGAUACCAAGCCUUAUUGAAAUAUAUUCUGAUAUUUUUAGUCAUCCAUGGAGCUUAAACAUUAUGAAAAAUAAAGCUGAGUUUAACAAUUAUGAAGGGCAUAUGAAAUUCUC